RNAcentral lists this ribosomal RNA (460 nucleotides) under uncultured bacterium. RNAcentral's name for it is "partial 16S ribosomal RNA". It matches the Rfam family "Bacterial small subunit ribosomal RNA", at positions 338 to 795 of the family's 1533-position model. The record is from RNAcentral.
CCUACGGGAGGCAGCAGUGAGGAAUAUUGGUCAAUGGGCGAGAGCCUGAACCAGCCAAGUCGCGUGAAGGAUGACGGCCCUACGGGUUGUAAACUUCUUUUGUCAGGGAGCAAUUGGCUCCACGCGUGGGCUUAUCGAGAGUACCUGAAGAAAAAGCAUCGUCUAACUCCGGGCCAGCAGCCGCGGUAAUACGGAGGAUGCGAGCGUUAUCCGGAUUUAUUGGGUUUAAAGGGUGCGUAGGCGGAAUAUUAAGUCAGCGGUAAAAAUUCGGGGCUCAACCCCGUCGGGCCUUUGAAAUUGAUGUUCUUGAGUGCGCGAGAAGUAUGCGGAAUGAGUGGAGUAGCGGUGAAAUGCAUAGAUAUAACGCAGAACUCCGAUUGCGAAGGCAGCAUACCGGCGCCAAACUGACGCUGAAGCACGAAAGCGUGGGUAUCGAACAGGAUUAGAUACCCCGGUAGUC